Long non-coding RNA from Acanthopagrus latus (yellowfin seabream), 4587 nucleotides. RefSeq lists it as uncharacterized. The transcript has 4 exons. The record is from RefSeq and is a predicted model, not a curated record. NCBI's taxonomy places the organism in Eukaryota, Metazoa, Chordata, Actinopteri, Spariformes, Sparidae.
UUCAGGGGGCAGAUAGCCAGUGAGCCGGGGUGCAACUAAAGCUCAUUUUCACUGUUCAGUUUUGUUGAAUAAAAUGAUAGAAAGUAGAAAACAAUUUAAACACAAUUUCCCAAAGUGAAUUGUGAAUUGAUCUUAUUUUGACCAAGCAACACAAGAAGAUGUUUGGUUUGUUUACUGUUUGGUUAAUUUACACUGUUCCCUUUCAAAUAUACUAAACUAAACUAGGCAAAGUAAAAAUACUCAAAGUAAUGUCAGUGUUAUAAGAAAAAGGUAGAAAAGGUACCUUUAAGUAAAAGUAGUGCUAAAAAAAAUGUAGAUUAUGUCAUUACAUCAUCAUUUCUCAUGCGUUCAUGUAAAAGCAGGCUUAUACUGUAUUACGUGGCUGAGUUGGGGCACAUUUAAAAAAAUAACUUUGUACAUGAUGCCAACUGAUGAUUAUUUUCAUUAUGGAUUUAUCUGCUGAUGAUUUUCUUGAUAAAUUCAUUUUCUGGUUUGUAAAAAUGGAGACUUGGCUGAUUUUGUCAGUAUAAAAUUUUGUAAAUAAAAUAUUUUAUUUCCCUCUGAAAUCUAGUGGAGUACAACAAGUAGUGUGAAAAAAAAAGUACCUUAAAUGUAUCCUUAAAUACAGUACUAAUAAAAAGCGGCAAAUGCUUCACAUUUGACAAGCUUGAAGAAAGGAAUAUUUUUUAAAUUAAUUAUGUAUCAUAAUUUAUACUAAUUUUUUGCAUUUGAAUUAAAUAAUUUUAACGAGAUGGCUGCCAAUCAUUUUCCCGUCUAUUUUUCAGCUCUUAAGCAAAGACCGUAAAUAAAAGCUGAUGCUGUCACACGAGGCUAAUAGCGCAACCGGCCUUGUGGGAAUCCGUCCUCUAACCUAACCAGAACCGACAACAUGUUCUCGCCACUUAACUUCACAUGGCCACAUCGUGCAGCAUGUAAAGUAGACUUUGCCUAUCAAGCUGUUUAAUAAAAAUUAAAGCCUGUCUAUCCAUGGGAGAGAGCACAGAGCUGUGUUUAGAGUGACUGAUCGAGAGCCCAGAAUCAAAGGGCCCUGUGGCUCGAGCUGCGAGUGUGUCUGGGAAUUGGCCCAACUCUUAAAGAGCCAAGCUUCCCUCAUCUUGACUGGGGGCCGAGUCGACCCCUUCAAAAUAGGAAGAAGCCAUUUCUGCUGGCAGCCAAGUGGUUCCUCUCUGGAAGCCUGUCAGGUGAGGAGUCGGGGCUGCCAACUGUAACCCCCUCAGGUGGGCACAGGGGGCAGGGCAGACCUCCAUCAUGGCUCCGGCACUGUGACACGCAGCAGAUGAUGCAGAGGGCAGCGAGCUCCCUGAAGCCUCUCCGCUAAAAAUCUGCUGUGAAAACACUCCAGUCGACUCCACAGUGGUGGAUUCAUGAGAAUACAACAAUCAGAAUAAGCGUAAAAUUAAGACGCUCUUUACGUUUCAACUUUUAUUUUUACUAGUUCUAUUUGAUGACAGCGUUGUGCUUAUGACCUGGUUAGGUUUAGAUACAAGGACCACUCCGUUAUGGUUGGGAAAAGAUUGUGUUUUUCCUUAAAAUACCUGUUUUCGUUCCCGCUAACACGGCCAGAGGAGUCUUGAAGUCCUGUCAAACACAUCCAGUGGUUUCACUCUUAGAAAUGUUGAAACACAGCCUCGCACUCUGUAACUCCACCACCUCCAUCUCCUGAUAAGAAAGUCAGGUCAGGAGCAUGUUGAACAUGUAAAUGUAAUAUAACACAUACUGGAGAAAUGUUAGUAUCGUGCGUAACGAACGACACGCACAGAGGUGAAGGUAUCGUCGUGUUGCAGAAACUGGACACAUUUUAUUCAAGUGCCAUGGCAGGUUACAUCAAUACAUCACGCAUCACUCUUUACGUAUGAUACGUACGUAUGAUGUCUGCAAUCUUAUGUGUACCACCUACAUAUAUCAAAAGAAGAAGAAAAAACAUCAUAUUAUUAUGGCCUAUGGGGGGGGGGAAUGAUUAAAAAGAUAACUGAAUAUAAUGUAAAGGAAAAUGAAGAAAAAAACAUAAUAUAUUCAUACACAGUACACAAAUAGACCCAAAGCUCCACAGUAUAACCAUAUACAGUACUGAUGGUUUAACAAGAAACACUUGAACAUCACAUUACUAAAGCAUCAGGCACCAAUUAUCUUAACGUGAUUCAAUCAUAGUUAGAAAAAAUAAAAACAGAAAACGAAACUGUUACCUCUGCUACUCCAAACUUCUUCUUCCAGCCUUUGUUAACUUCACCUCCACGACAACAAACCAGCAGAAAAAACCAACAACACGUCUUCUUGGCUGCUUAAAAAAAAAAAAAAAAAAACACAUCCCGACGACAUCAAAAUGAACCUCUGGAAGAUUUUCUUAUUUUCCUUUGUUUCUGAUGACUCUUUGUCGGGCUGCGAUUCAUCAUGCUGCACUCUCCCUUUAAAUCAACCUCAAACCAAUUUAACACCACAACACCAUGUUGCUUGUUCUCGCUAAAACUGGUUAAACACAGAUGGCGCGGUGUCAUGUUGAGAUAUUUCCAGCAACGUUACAAUGGAGUUAAGCAGAGCGGAGAACUAGGUGGAGUUCUGCUGAACAGCCAGGGGUGGAUUCACUUGCGACGAAUUCGGCUCUCCAUCUUUCAUUUUCAGAGUGUAAUUGAAAAACGUUUAAUUGCUAUGCACAAAAAAAGAUGAUGAUGCUCUUGAAGCCUCUCAGCCUCCGCGGUAUGGAUCAGAGGGGACGUGAAACUUAAUGUGGAACAAAACUACAAUUUCAGUUAAACUUUUAUAACAUCGUGACUAUUGAGACAAGUUUAACCUCUUAUUUACUGUUUGUUGAAACCACAACACGAAUCCCUGCUCAAUUCGAAGCGUCCUCUCAGUUUACUUUGUCGAGCCUGUCAUGCUGCUGCAUUCAGCAUUUUGAGAUUUAAAGAUCACAGAUAUUUUGUUUGUCUGUGAAGCAGUCUGUGGCAGUAAUUAGCCUGUAGCAUUAGCAUGAAGGCUGGAGGCAGGAGGGAAAAAGCUAAACUUAAAAACAAAAAUACACUCAAAGGAGCUGUUUGUAAGAUAUGGUCAGAGUUCUAGGUUAAAACAUUAAAAACUGGAACUAAAAUGACAGUAUUGACGUUUACUGUGUCUUCUUUAGCUAGCAUGCUAACCAGCUAGCCCCAUCUUGCCUCCGAGGACCACUUCGCAUUGCAGGAGGCGCUAGUUGGUUAGCUGCUGCAUUUUUACCCGAGAGAUGCAUGAGUAGCGUCUUCACUGUUUCCAAAAGCUUUCUUAGAUUUAGUUGCGCUAAAUGAACAAAAUACACUCAUAAAGUGUCAAGAUAUAUAACACUCCUUUUGUUUUCCUUAACAAACAGAAAAAUACAACUGUAUGCCUUCUGAAUGUUGCCUGCUGCAUCCGGUGUACACCUCUCCUUUCUCUUGUCAUCCCCAAAAUCCUCGUCCAGGUCAGAGCAGCUGUAACUCACCUUCCUGCUGUAUCCCGUUCUCAAAUGUUCACUCUCACAUCAGUCUAAAAUCGAAUCGAAAUCUAAAAUCUAAAUCUGGCCGAGUUGUCCAAGGUCUCAGUCCAGUUAAUCUCCAGGACCGCUGGCUCCACCGCGAACUGAACCAGUAGCUACUAAGCUAAUGUGCAAAUUGACGGCCAGCCAUGUAACUGAAGCCACUGUUGUUUUAGCGCAACGUCAUGGUGACUGGGUCCAUCACUGAGUUUUGGAGGUGCUGAAGGAACGAAGAGGCCUCAGACGCAGCAAGACGACAGCGAGCCGAAGACAGCUGAUGAGCGAAGGGAGAGAAAGACAUCAAAUCAACGCUGAAAAGUGUCGAUUAGAGAACGACACAUGGACGCCUCUGUCAGCAGGACAUCAGGAUUCAUCUGCGGCUUCCAAAACUGCAGAUGAAGAAUAAAUCAGAUUCUGAAACAUCGUCUUUAAUACUCCUACCAUUCUGCUGAGUAUCAGCUUCUCCUGCUCCUCAUUUCUCUUUACAGGACGGAACUUAAACGUGGCUGCGGACGACAUAAACUUCCCGUCGCAACAACUAAAUGUGUCCCAGCGAAACACAGAAUGAGAGACGUACUUCCUCCAUAAUCUCAAUGUUUACAUCAGAAUAAAUCAUGUUGAUAAUAUGUGUAAAAAAAAAAAAAAACAUUAAAUAGUGACAUCACAUUAAGUGACAAUACAUUCGGUCAUACGGAAAGUGUUUAGUUAAGGUUAUAGACUCAAUAUGAAGAGCGUUAAAGGGUUUUGUGACUCGAAUGAAAGCAAAUGCUGUUUUUGAUUUCGAUUUCACAUUUGCACUGUUUUAUUAUCAUUAUUCUUGUUGAUGCUUUUUCUUAUUCAUCACGUGUGCCAUGUAAAAGUGCUUUACUUUGUAUAUUGUACAUUUCAGUUGUAUAUAUUUCUUUAUUACAUUGUUGGCAUUUCUGUGGAUAGCAAAGGAAGAAUUUCAUUGUACAGAGGAAUAUGUUUCUUAUCUGUGCAUAUGACAAUAAACACUUUGAAUCUUGAAUCUUCAGUCACUAACCUUUACCCUCUACCUAAAACUGGUCCGGUGAAGGUGACAAAAUACAGACAGGACUGUGUUUGCU